UUGACGCUGCGGGGCCCGUGAAGUGUGGUAAAUCUCCAGGGCCAAUAAAUACUACUCGGGAGCUGUCCCUAUUGUACCCCUGGGUAUGGUAUACGGCGCCCACCUAGACCUACCGGCCUAGGAAGAUUAGACGCGUAACGACCCACGCGGCGUCACC
Molecule: non-coding RNA, 157 nt
Filed under: Rhodospirillales bacterium
Lineage: Bacteria; Pseudomonadati; Pseudomonadota; Alphaproteobacteria; Rhodospirillales
Description: 6S RNA
Rfam family: 6S / SsrS RNA
About the family: E. coli 6S RNA was the first non coding RNA to be sequenced, but its function was unknown until recently. It consists of 184 nucleotides that fold into an extended hairpin structure with a large single-stranded internal bulge. The 6S RNA specifically associates with RNA polymerase holoenzyme containing the sigma70 specificity factor.
Source: RNAcentral